CUCGCACGAGGCAAUGGAGUCUGCCUAAUUAACCGCCGAGCCGGAUUCGGCUGAUGACUCCUACUGUUCA
This 70-nucleotide non-coding RNA is filed under the name Desulfomonile tiedjei. RNAcentral's name for it is "Fluoride sequence". It matches the Rfam family "Fluoride riboswitch aptamer (crcB RNA motif)". RNAcentral also lists the same sequence under 1 other name. Lineage: Bacteria; Pseudomonadati; Thermodesulfobacteriota; Desulfomonilia; Desulfomonilales; Desulfomonilaceae. The record is from RNAcentral.